Molecule: ribosomal RNA, 468 nt
Filed under: uncultured bacterium
Lineage: Bacteria
Description: partial 16S ribosomal RNA
Rfam family: Bacterial small subunit ribosomal RNA
Source: RNAcentral
GACGAACGCUGGCGGCGUGCUUAACACAUGCAAGUCGAACGGAAAGGCCCUGCUUUUGUGGGGUGCUCGAGUGGCGAACGGGUGAGUAACACGUGAGUAACCUGCCCUUGACCUUGGGAUAACUUCAGGAAACUGGGGCUAAUACCGGAUAGGAGCUCCUGCUGCAUGGUGGGGGUUGGAAAGUUUCGGCGGUUGGGGAUGGACUCGCGGCUUAUCAGCUUGUUGGUGGGGUAGUGGCUUACCAAGGCUUUGACGGGUAGCCGGCCUGAGAGGGUGACCGGCCUCAUUGGGACUGAGAUACGGCCCAGACUCCUACGGGAGGCAGCAGUGGGGAAUAUUGCACAAUGGGCGGAAGCCUGAUGCAGCAACGCCGCGUGCGGGAUGACGGCCUUCGGGUUGUAAACCGCUUUCGCCUGUGACGAAGCGUGAGUGACGGUAAUGGGUAAAGAAGCACCGGCUAACUACGUG